CUGCAUGUGAAAUGAGGCGACUGGCUACUCCCCUUGUUUUGCUGAUGUCUGGCAGGGAAGCUCGUCUGCCUAUAGAUCUGUGUUUUGGGGUGAGGAAGUGCAGUAUCAACGGUUCCUCACAAAAUUGAGAGGACACCUAAGCAGGGCUUCUUUAGUUAGCUAAAGAAGGUGCUGAGAAGAGUCAUGGAUGGAACAAGAGAGCACAUGAGAAAUUAGUCGAACAGAUUCUGAAGAAAGGAGACCGUGUACUAUAGAGGAGUUUUGGUGUCAUGGGUAAGCACUAGUUGCAGAAUAAGUGGAGAUUCUUACCUUAUAUUGUGGUGGGAAAAAUGGAAAACCUGCUAGUAUACCAAAUUAAGCAUGAGUGGUUCCAGGGCAAAUUGGAACAGUUCAUCGUAAUCAUCGACUUCCCAUUGGGUGCUUAGUGAGACUGCCAGGGAACAUGGAUGAAUCAGAUCCUCUGCAGAGACAAGAUACUAGGCUGCAAAGUCUCCCAAAGACACAGUUGGCUUGCAAGCAAAAAAGCGAUCUCAUGACAAGGACAGCUAUGUCAUCCUUUUCUCACUCAGAUUCUGAGGUUGUUUCUCAGUCUUUUACAUUCGAUGGACAGAACUGGGAGAAUGCGUUACCGUUAGCUGGUAUGUCCGGGAUGAGCCAGGCCCCCUGUGGAAAGGGAGGUCGCGAUUCUUGAUUUGCAGGGGUCGCAGGCAAAGUGAAGCUGGGAGGGGUUGAUGCUGCCAGUCCAGAGAACGCUGUUGAAAUUGACGUGUCUCCCGCUUCAGACUGUGUGGUUGAAACUGAUCUAGAAGGGGGGAGCAGGCAACUGGGAUGUUUGAGGUGCUACAGGAGAGUUUGACCAUACAGGUUACAAAAAGAGAGAGAAGAUCAGCGGAUACGUUUUACAUGAUGAGCUUGGAAAACUUUUCUGAUCGACCCCUAGAUAUCAGUCUGAAGCGGGGGACACGUCAAUUUCAACAGCGUUCUCUGGACUGGCAGCAUCAACCCCUCCCAGCUUCACUUUGCCUGCGACCCCUGCAAAUCAAGAAUCGCGACCUCCCUUUCCACAGGGGGCCUGGCUCAUCCCGGACAUACCAGCUAACGGUAACGCAUUCUCCCAGUUCUGUCCAUCGAAUGUAAAAGACUGAGAAACAACCUCAGAAUCUGAGUGAGAAAAGGAUGACAUAGCUGUCCUUGUCAUGAGAUCGCUUUUUUGCCUGCAAGCCAACUGUGUCUUUGGGAGACUUUGCAGCCUAGUAUCUUGUCGCUGCAGAGGAUCUGAUUCAUCCAUGUUCCCUGGCAGUCUCACUAAGCACCCAAUGGGAAGUCGAUGAUUACGAUGAACUGUUCCAAUUUUCCCUGGAACCACACAGGUUUAAUUUGGUACACUAGCAGGUUUCCCCUUUUUCCCCACCACAGUAUAAGGUAAGAAUCUCCACUUAUUCUGCAACUAGUGCUUACCCAUGACACCAAAACUCCUCUAUAGUACACGGUCUCCUUUCUUCAGAAUCUGUUCGACUAAUUUCUCAUGUGCUCUCUUGUUCCAUCCAUGACUCUUCUCAGCACCUUCUUUAGCUAACUAAAGAAGCCCUGCUUAGGUGUCCUCUCAAUUUUGUGAGGAACCGUUGAUACUGCACUUCCUUACCCCAAAACACAGAUCUAUAGGCAGACGAGCUUCCCUGCCAGACAUCAGCAAAACAAGGGGAGUAGCCAGUCGCCUUAUUUCUCAUGCAGUUAUAGGCAUGUACGAGUUGACUGAUCUUCUGACCGUUUCUGCUUCUGCCCAGGAUCCAAUGCUCCCAACAUGGACAGCAGAGUCCUGUUGAAUUUCUCUGGUUGGAAUUCCCCCUGGGGGUGGGCAGGGUGUCGUGGGAGACUUUCUGAUCCCCGACAUUCUUAGGAGAUUGUGGGUCAGCUUUGACUCACAGUCAUGUCGCUGAUCAGAGUGAAUGUGAGCAGGGAGUCCAUAGUGUACAAAGUUCUUCUCAAACAGUACUAUGAGGACGGCAGAGGCCUUCUGAUCCUUUGUCGGAAAAGCCCGAGCGUAGCGAGCGAAAUGGUCAGUCACAACAAGCAUGUUCUCAAAUCCCUGUGAAUCUUGCUCGAGUGACAGGAAGUCAGUGCAUACCAAAUCAAGUGGACCUUUACUCGUAAUUUUGUUCGACGGAGCAGCUCUCUGAGGACGAGUCUUGCGAGCAAUGCAUCUGCCACAAUUCCUGACAUACUCCUCAAUAACUGCACCUAUCUUCGGCCGAUAAAAACGGUCCUCGAUGAGCUCUGAUGACUUCUCCGAUCCUAAAUGGCCACAAUCAUCAUGAAGUGACUGGUGUACCAUUCGAACAUAUAUUCUGGGCAAAAUAAGCCGCUGUACCUGAGUGCUACCUGGCCUCUGCACUACUCUACAAAGCACUGACUGGCUCACUUUAACAUUCUCUCUUCUUGAUAACGCGGUUGUGGUAAUGCACAAACUAUUUUCUAUGAGAUGUAUGUCGCUUUGGAGAAAAACAUCUGCUAAAUGAAUAAAUGUAACGCCAAGAACA
Long non-coding RNA from Scleropages formosus (Asian bonytongue), 2537 nucleotides. Lineage: Eukaryota; Metazoa; Chordata; Actinopteri; Osteoglossiformes; Osteoglossidae. The record is from Ensembl.